GUCCUAGCCCUAAACGGUGCACGUUUGCUGUAAGAGGAAUCGACCCCUUUUGUGGCGAAGCUAACGCGUUAAACGUGCCGCCUGGGAAGUACGGCCGCAAGGUUAAAACUCAAAGAAAUUGACGGGGGCCUGCACAAGCGGUGGAGUAUGUGGCUUAAUUCGAUGCAACGCGAAGAACCUUACCUGGCCUUGACAUGCAAGUAGUAGAAUCGUGAAAGCGAGACGAGGUAGCAAUACCAGCUUGCACAGGUGCUGCAUGGCUGUCGU
Molecule: ribosomal RNA, 267 nt
Filed under: uncultured bacterium
Lineage: Bacteria
Description: partial 16S ribosomal RNA
Rfam family: Bacterial small subunit ribosomal RNA
Source: RNAcentral